AUUUAGGAAACCUGAUCUGAACCUCUGUACAGGCUAAACCAUUGUCUCACAAAAUACUCCAGAUGGAAGUGAAAAAGUUGUGUUUUAAAGGAAGGAUGAAAUGAGAAACAAAGUGAAAUAUUACAGUAUCCAUCUGGAAGAGAUAUGGAUGAGGGAAAGAAAACAUAAUUCUAUUAACUCUUUGGGAUUUUUAGAUUAUACUUCAUAUAGGAGGAGGGCAGUUGUCAGCUAUGGAGAAUCACCCAGCUAUAUUAACUAUGCCAGCAAUGUGGUACUCUGCAGUACCUGCUUUGCACAUCCAUUUGAAUCUAUUAACAUUAUGACUGCUAUUCAGAAAUGCUGAGACACUACUUUCCAUUCAAGUACUGAAGACAAGAAAAAUUGGUGCCUCCCAAGAUCUGGCAAUUUUGGCAAUUGAAACAACCUGAUGGAAAUCUGGGAAACACAGAAAUCAGACCCGUGAGGUCUGUGCUCCAAGCUGGAAAGGAAAGUCAUACAACAGAUGGACAUUAAAGAUGGGAAGAUCAAAGAGUGACAUCACUGAGCGCAAGCUCUCAUAGUGGAGGACCAGGUGGAGAGCAGAAGGAUAAAAUUAAUAUGAUGUUUGCUGCUACCAGCAGGCAAGAAGACCAGAGCAAACGCAGCUACAUGUGCAGAACUCCUCAUCAGCUGGUGCUAGUUUGCCAGGAUUAUCCCCAGCAGCUUGCUUAAAUCCAUCUCAUAUAAUAUUACCAUGCCGACCCACGGUUGUCCUUGUAUCAGAUCAAUGUGUUAUGUUUUAAAUGAGCUGUGAGGCAUAUGUCAAAGGUAUUUAGACAGUAGUGCUAGGUAAGUUCCUUAUAGGUUCUGAAGGAAUAACUUUAGCACUAUGUAAUUCCUUAGGCUUCAUUUUAAACACAAAAUAUUUAAUUUAUUAUUUAUAAAAUAACAACACUUAUUGAACACAAUUUUUAGGCACUAACCUAAGCACUUUACAUGCAUUAGUCACUUAAGGCUCACAAUAUUCACACUGGGCAUUAAUGUUAUACGCAUUUUGAAGAUAAGGGGAAGAAAAGUAAGAUUAAGAUGUUAAAUAAGGUCCUGAGGUAACCCAGCUAAGAAAUUGAGGCAUUGAAAUCCAGCUGUCUGAUUGUGGAAUUCUCACAAUUGUGCUUGGAGGAUUUGGAUUGCUGUUAUAAUUCAAUGAGAUUUAUCUUAUUCCAAGCAAGUUUUCCUUAUUUUUUUUAAAGAUUUACUUAUUUAUUUGAAAGGCAGAAUUACAGAGAGAGAGGGCCAGAGAGAGAAAGAGAUCUUUCUUCACUCCCCAAAUGGCUGCAAUGGCCAAGGCCAGAUCAGGACGAAGCCGGGAGCCUAGAAAUUCACCUGAUCUCCCUUGUGGGUGGCCAUAUUUCACUGUUUUCCCAGAUGUAUGGGCAGGGUGCUGGAUUGAAAGUGGAGGCUCUGGGACCCAAACCAGCACUCAUACUGCGUGUUGGUGUCAUAGUGGUGGCUUAACCCACUGCACCACAUCCCUGGCACUGUUUACUUAUGGAUGAUCAUUAUUUAUAAACUUAAAGUUAUAUUUGGUCCAAACAAAAAAUUGUUUUAUAAGCUUUUUAGUUGUAUUGUUUUUAUUACCCUCUUCAUCCUAGUAUAAGUUCAAUGAUAUUUUGUUGGAUUUAAGUUCUGAUCCUCCCACUACUAUGAGGCUAGGCGCCACUCAACUAUCUAGAAAAGGUCACCAAAUCACUUUAAUUAUUUGAGAGUCAGAGAGAGAGAGUAAAGGAGAAAGAGAUAAGGAAAGGGGUUGGGAAAGGGAGAGGGAGAGAGAAUGAGAAGAAAUGUCUCCCAUCUGUUGUUUCACUCCUUAGAUGCUUACAACAGCUGGGGCUGGAUCUCAAAUGGGUCUGUGUCUCCCAUGUGGGUGGCAGGGACCCAGUGCUACCCAGGGUACACAUUUGCUGGAAGCUAGAAUGGGAGUGGAGCAGAGACUCAAGCUGAGGUAGUCUGAUACAGCAUGCCAUUGUCUCAAUGAUGUCUUAACCACUUGGCCAAAUGCCCAACCCCUACUUCAUUUUUGAAGAAAUGAGAUUUAGAUAAAGAAAUCUAUA
Oryctolagus cuniculus (rabbit) is the source of this 2090-nucleotide non-coding RNA. The record is from RefSeq and is a predicted model, not a curated record. Lineage: Eukaryota; Metazoa; Chordata; Mammalia; Lagomorpha; Leporidae.